This is a long non-coding RNA of Alosa sapidissima (American shad), 192 nucleotides long. RefSeq lists it as uncharacterized. The transcript is spliced from 2 exons. The record is from RefSeq and is a predicted model, not a curated record. NCBI's taxonomy places the organism in Eukaryota, Metazoa, Chordata, Actinopteri, Clupeiformes, Clupeidae.
GUUCAGUCAGUCAGUCCAACGGUGUUCAGCACUCUGUCAAGUUCGCAGCUCCACCUUAAUGGUGCUGCUUCACUCUGCUACUGGUGGUGGAUCAGGCUGACUGCAACCGUUGGUCUAACGUUAGGAUGCAGCACACGAAAAUUUCUAAACGGGAAAAAAGUGAAUAAAUGUACUUGCUUUUCAAACUGAUAA